UACGUAGGUCCCGAGCGUUGUCCGGAUUUAUUGGGCGUAAAGCGAGCGCAGGUGGUUUAUUAAGUCUGGUGUAAAAGGCAGUGGCUCAACCAUUGUAUGCAUUGGAAACUGGUAGACUUGAGUGCAGGAGAGGAGAGUGGAAUUCCAUGUGUAGCGGUGAAAUGCGUAGAUAUAUGGAGGAACACCGGUGGCGAAAGCGGCUCUCUGGCCUGUAACUGACACUGAGGCUCGCAAGCGUGGGGAGCAAACAGG
Molecule: ribosomal RNA, 252 nt
Filed under: uncultured bacterium
Lineage: Bacteria
Description: partial 16S ribosomal RNA
Rfam family: Bacterial small subunit ribosomal RNA
Source: RNAcentral